RNAcentral lists this ribosomal RNA (546 nucleotides) under uncultured bacterium. Its description in RNAcentral is "bacterial SSU rRNA". It matches the Rfam family "Bacterial small subunit ribosomal RNA", at positions 355 to 895 of the family's 1533-position model. The record is from RNAcentral.
UGGGGAAUAUUGCGCAAUGGGGGGAACCCUGACGCAGCCAUGCCGCGUGAAUGAAGAAGGCCUUCGGGUUGUAAAGUUCUUUCGGUAUUGAGGAAGGUUGAUGUGUUAAUAGCACAUCAAAUUGACGUUAAAUACAGAAGAAGCACCGGCUAACUCCGUGCCAGCAGCCGCGGUAAUACGGAGGGUGCGAGCGUUAAUCGGAAUAACUGGGCGUAAAGGGCACGCAGGCGGUUAUUUAAGUGAGGUGUGAAAGCCCUGGGCUUAACCUAGGAAUUGCAUUUCAGACUGGGUAACUAGAGUACUUUAGGGAGGGGUAGAAUUCCACGUGUAGCGGUGAAAUGCGUAGAGAUGUGGAGGAAUACCGAAGGCGAAGGCAGCCCCUUGGGAAUGUACUGACGCUCAUGUGCGAAAGCGUGGGGAGCAAACAGGAUUAGAUACCCUGGUAGUCCACGCUGUAAACGCUGUCGAUUUGGGGGUUGGGGUUUAACUCUGGCGCCCGUAGCUAACGUGAUAAAUCGACCGCCUGGGGAGUACGGCCGCAAGGUU